GAAAUGCGAUACGUAGUGUGAAUUGCAGAAAUACGUGAAUCAUCGAAUCUUUGAACGCAAAUUGCGCUCGCGGCUUCGGCCAAGAGCAUGUCUGCCUCAGCGUCGGGUUAAUACUCGCUCCCCCACCCCUGUGGGUGCGGUGAGAGCGGAACUGGCUUUCCCGGCAACACCUGCCGGGUCUGCUGAAGCGCAGAGGUUGAUGCAUGGACCCGCUAACGGGCCUCUACUGGGUAGGCAACUCGCUUGCUAAAUGCUUUAGUAGAUGGCUUGGGGCUGUGCUGGUCGACCCAAACCAGGAAACAUAUAACCCUAUUUUCUCGACCUGAGCUCAGGCAAGAACACCCGCUGAGCUUAAAC
Molecule: unclassified non-coding RNA, 357 nt
Filed under: plant metagenome
Description: partial contains 5.8S ribosomal RNA, internal transcribed spacer 2, and large subunit ribosomal RNA
Rfam family: 5.8S ribosomal RNA (bases 1-105)
Source: RNAcentral